Cheilinus undulatus (humphead wrasse) is the source of this 684-nucleotide long non-coding RNA. RefSeq lists it as uncharacterized. The transcript has 2 exons. Lineage: Eukaryota; Metazoa; Chordata; Actinopteri; Labriformes; Labridae. The record is from RefSeq and is a predicted model, not a curated record.
ACUUCAGCGCUGCAACUGAGGAAAAAAAGAACGAAGCUGCAGACAAUCCAUCCAUUAAUCCAAUCAUUUUCUUCCUUUUUCUUCUGUUUUUCCAGCGCUGGAUUAUUCCAGCUCCUCCUGGGGGGUCCAGAGGCAUUCCCAGGUCAGAUGGAUAAUCCCUCCAGAGAGUUCUGGGUCUACCCUGGGGUCUCCACCAGGAGGAUCCUGAUCAGAUAGCCUCAAAGUGAGGACCAUCUUUCAAAGUGAAGCAGCAGCUGCUCUGCUCUGAGCUCCUCCUCUCUCUCUCUGAGACUGAGCCCAAACACCCUCCUGGAGGAUCUCAGUUCCCCUCUUUGUUCCAGCGAGAACAAGACCCUGAGAUACCUGAGCACUUGGGUUUAAACCCCAGAAUAAGGAAGAUUGAGGAUCUUACCAACAGGACACAUGGGACAGCACUCAUUCCCAAACACAUACUCCGUCCGAUGGCAGAUUCUGCUCCUAAAUCUGCAUCUCUGAAGUUCUACCUUUCAUGAGCGUCCUCCACAGCAGAGGUUCUCAAACUUUUCAGGGCUAGGGACCUCGUACAGGAUACCCCUCCAAGGACCCCCACAUGACCCUCACACUGAUUAAACAUGUGUUAACUGUCAUCUGUACUCCUAGAUGCUGUAUUUUAAACUCUUCUACCUAAAUAAAAGCUCUUGUCCA